Molecule: ribosomal RNA, 317 nt
Filed under: Didymium dubium
Lineage: Eukaryota; Evosea; Eumycetozoa; Physariida; Didymiaceae
Description: partial small subunit ribosomal RNA
Rfam family: Eukaryotic small subunit ribosomal RNA
Source: RNAcentral
UCUGAAUCUGCGAACGGCUCCGCAAACCAGUUGUAAACUAUAGCAAGCUCUCCUAUGGUCGCCCCUUCACGGGGGGGGUCUGGGAAAUAGGGAUAACCCUGGUAAUUCUGAGGCUAAUACCACCACGUAAAACCUGGCUGACUGGGCAACCGGAAGGCUGGGGGGCGUGCAAUUUUUUCGCGAGGUUUACCGGGAAGGGACGCACGUCUGGACCGCGCAAAACGGAUGACUGGGCCUUCGGGACUGGGCUUCUAGCGGCUCUUGCUGUGUGCUUCUGACCUAUCAACUAGAUGGCAGCGUAAGGGACAUGCUAUGGU